UUGGCAUUACUGAGCAUCUAGU
Molecule: microRNA, 22 nt
Filed under: Ovis aries (sheep)
Lineage: Eukaryota; Metazoa; Chordata; Mammalia; Artiodactyla; Bovidae
Description: miRNA 14
Source: RNAcentral